This 76-nucleotide transfer RNA is filed under the name Pasteurella multocida. RNAcentral's name for it is "tRNA-Ala". It matches the Rfam family "tRNA". From Rfam's summary of the family: Transfer RNA (tRNA) molecules are approximately 80 nucleotides in length. Their secondary structure includes four short double-helical elements and three loops (D, anti-codon, and T loops). Further hydrogen bonds mediate the characteristic L-shaped molecular structure. tRNAs have two regions of fundamental functional importance: the anti-codon, which is responsible for specific mRNA codon recognition, and the 3' end, to which the tRNAs corresponding amino acid is attached (by aminoacyl-tRNA synthetases). tRNAs cope with the degeneracy of the genetic code in two manners: having more than one tRNA (with a specific anti-codon) for a particular amino acid; and 'wobble' base-pairing, i.e. permitting non-standard base-pairing at the 3rd anti-codon position. RNAcentral also lists the same sequence under 1 other name. Lineage: Bacteria; Pseudomonadati; Pseudomonadota; Gammaproteobacteria; Pasteurellales; Pasteurellaceae. The record is from RNAcentral.
GGGGAUAUAGCUCAGCCGGGAGAGCGCCUGCCUUGCACGCAGGAGGUCAGCGGUUCGAUCCCGCUUAUCUCCACCA